GCAAACUUGGUCAUUUAGAGGAAGUAAAAGUCGUAACAAGGUUUCCGUAGGUGAACCUGCGGAAGGAUCAUUAUCGAGUUUUGAAACGGGUUGUAGCUGUCCUUCGCAAGAAGGUACGUGCACGCCUUGCUCAUCCACUCUCAAACCCCUGUGCACUUUUUGUAGGCUUGGUGGGAUAGGCUGACUUCGGUCGGCUUUGAAAGCCUCGCCUAUGUAUUAAAACAAACGCUUCAGUUUAGAAUGUAACCUUGCAUAAUAAGCAAAUAAAUACAACUUUCAGCAACGGAUCUCUUGGCUCUCGCAUCGAUGAAGAACGCAGC
This 320-nucleotide unclassified non-coding RNA is filed under the name uncultured fungus. Its description in RNAcentral is "partial contains small subunit ribosomal RNA, internal transcribed spacer 1, and 5.8S ribosomal RNA". The stretch from base 1 to 73 matches the Rfam family "Eukaryotic small subunit ribosomal RNA", at positions 1759 to 1831 of the family's 1831-position model. The record is from RNAcentral. Lineage: Eukaryota; Fungi.